UGGGGAAUAUUGGGCAAUGGGGGCAACCCUGACCCAGCGACGCCGCGUGAGGGAAGACGGCCUUCGGGUUGUAAACCUCUUUUGUACGGGAAGAAGGACGUGACGGUACCGUGCGAAUAAGUCCCGGCUAACUACGUGCCAGCAGCCGCGGUAAUACGUAGGGGACGAGCGUUGUCCGGAAUUACUGGGCGUAAAGGGCGCGCAGGCUGUAGAUCAAGUCAGCUGUGAAAUGUCUGGGCUUAACCCGGGCAUGCGGUUGAAACUGAUGUACUGGAGUGCUGUAGAGGCAAGUGGAAUUCCCAGUGUAGCGGUGAAAUGCGUAGAUAUUGGGAAGAACACCGGUGGCGAAGGCGACUUGCUGGGCAGCAACUGACGCUGAGGCGCGAAAGCCAGGGGAGCAAACGGG
Molecule: ribosomal RNA, 406 nt
Filed under: uncultured bacterium
Lineage: Bacteria
Description: bacterial SSU rRNA
Rfam family: Bacterial small subunit ribosomal RNA
Source: RNAcentral